ACGCUCGACAGUGUCAGCCGCCGCGGUAAUACGAAGGGGGCUAGCGUUGCUCGGAAUCACUGGGCGUAAAGGGCGCGUAGGCGGCGCCGCAAGUCGGGCGUGAAAUCCCCGGGCUCAACCCGGGGGCUGCGCCCGAGACUGCGGUGCUCGAGGACGGGAGAGGCUCGCGGAAUUCCCAGUGUAGAGGUGAAAUUCGUAGAUAUUGGGAAGAACACCGGUGGCGAAGGCGGCGAGCUGGCCCGUUUCUGACGCUGAGGCGCGACAGCGUGGGGAGCAAACAGGAUUAGAUACCCCUGGUAGUCCACGCCGUAAACGAUGUGCGCUGGGUGUUGGGGGGCCUAGCCCCUCAGUGCCGCAGCCAACGCGGUAAGCGCACGCCUGGGGAGUACGGCCGCAAGGUUGAAACUUAAAGGAAUUGGCGGG
This 423-nucleotide ribosomal RNA is filed under the name uncultured bacterium. RNAcentral describes it as "bacterial SSU rRNA". It matches the Rfam family "Bacterial small subunit ribosomal RNA", at positions 493 to 917 of the family's 1533-position model. The record is from RNAcentral.